GUCGAGCGAAUCGAUGGGAGCUUGCUCCCUGAGAUUAGCGGCGGACGGGUGAGUAACACGUGGGCAACCUGCCUAUAAGACUGGGAUAACUUCGGGAAACCGGAGCUAAUACCGGAUACGUUCUUCUCUCGCAUGAGAGAAGAUGGAAAGACGGUUUACGCUGUCACUUAUAGAUGGGCCCGCGGCGCAUUAGCUAGUUGGUGAGGUAAUGGCUCACCAAGGCGACGAUGCGUAGCCGACCUGAGAGGGUGAUCGGCCACACUGGGACUGAGACACGGCCCAGACUCCUACGGGAGGCAGCAGUAGGGAAUCUUCCGCAAUGGACGAAAGUCUGACGGAGCAACGCCGCGUGAACGAAGAAGGCCUUCGGGUCGUAAAGUUCUGUUGUUAGGGAAGAACAAGUACCAGAGUAACUGCUGGUACCUUGACGGUACCUAACCAGAAAGCCACGGCUAACUACGUGCCAGCAGCCGCGGUAAUACGUAGGUGGCAAGCGUUGUCCGGAAUUAUUGGGCGUAAAGCGCGCGCAGGUGGUUCCUUAAGUCUGAUGUGAAAGCCCACGGCUCAACCGUGGAGGGUCAUUGGAAACUGGGGAACUUGAGUGCAGAAGAGGAAAGUGGAAUUCCAAGUGUAGCGGUGAAAUGCGUAGAGAUUUGGAGGAACACCAGUGGCGAAGGCGACUUUCUGGUCUGUAACUGACACUGAGGCGCGAA
RNAcentral lists this ribosomal RNA (713 nucleotides) under Peribacillus simplex. RNAcentral describes it as "bacterial SSU rRNA". It matches the Rfam family "Bacterial small subunit ribosomal RNA", at positions 61 to 757 of the family's 1533-position model. Lineage: Bacteria; Bacillati; Bacillota; Bacilli; Caryophanales; Bacillaceae. The record is from RNAcentral.